AGUAAUCUUGCGGCCGAUGGUUCUGCGUGCACGCCUGUGGCGCGGAUGAAAAGGGAACAGGGUGCGGCGAAUCUCGCCAAUGCCCUGGCUGCCCCCGCAACUGUAAGCGGCUAACGAUGCCCUGAUGCCACUGACUUCGGUCGGGAAGGCGGGCGAAGUGUCAAGCCGUGAGCCAGGAGACCUGCCAUCGACAACGGGCGUUUC
RNAcentral lists this non-coding RNA (204 nucleotides) under Pseudomonas sp. 8O. Lineage: Bacteria; Pseudomonadati; Pseudomonadota; Gammaproteobacteria; Pseudomonadales; Pseudomonadaceae. The record is from RNAcentral.